GUGCUGGAGUCUGUAGUCAGGGGUGUUUGUGUGUGCGUUAAUGAGUAACCGACUUCGAGUAUCACAAACACCGCUACUGUUCAGAAGAGCGACUCCGAAGUGAUCCCAGUGUACUGGGCAUGGUUGAGAAAUUCCGUCUGUACUAGGAGUCUGUAGUCAGGGGUGUUUGUGUGUGCGUUAAUGAGUAACCGACUUCGAGUAUCACAAACACCGCUACUGUUCAGAAGAGCGACUCCGAAGUGAUCCCAGUGUACUGGGCAUGGUUGAGAAAUUCCCUCUGUACGAGGAGUCUGUAGUCAGGGGUGUUUGUGUGUGCGUUAAUGAGUAACCGACUUCGAGUAUCACAAACACCGCUACUGUUCAGAAGAGCAACUCCGAGGUGAUCCCAGUGUACUGGGCAUGGUUGAGAAAUUCCCUCUGUACGAGGAGUCUGUAGUCAGGGGUGUUUGUGUGUGCGUUAAUGAGUAACCGACUUCGAGUAUCACAAACACCGCUACUGUUCAGAAGAGCGACUCCGAAGUGAUCCCAGUGUACUGGGCAUGGUUGAGAAAUUCCCUCUGUGCUAGGAGUCUGUAGUCAGGGGUGUUUGUGUGUGCGUUAAUGAGUAACCGACUUCGAGUAUCACAAACACCGCUACUGUUCAGAAGAGCGACUCCGAAGUGAUCCCAGUGUACUGGGCAUGGUUGAGAAAUUCCCUCUGUACGAGGAGUCUGUAGUCAGGGGUGUUUGUGUGUGCGUUAAUGAGUAACCGACUUCGAGUAUCACAAACACCGCUACUGUUCAGAAGAGCGACUCCGAAGUGAUCCCAGUGUACUGGGCAUGGUUGAGAAAUUCCGUCUGUACUAGGAGUCUGUAGUCAGGUGUGUUUGUGUGUGCGUUAAUGAGUAACCGACUUCGAGUAUCACAAACACCGCUACGGUUCAGAAGAGCGACUCCGAAGUGAUCCCAGUGUACUGGGCAUGGUUGAGAAAUUCCCUCUGUACGAGGAGUCUGUAGUCAGGGGUGUUUGUGUGUGCGUUAAUGAGUAACCGACUUCGAGUAUCACAAACACCGCUACUGUUCAGAAGAGCAACUCCGAGGUGAUCCCAGUGUACUGGGCAUGGUUGAGAAAUUCCCUCUGUACGAGGAGUCUGUAGUCAGGUGUGUUUGUGUGUGCGUUAAUGAGUAACCGACUUCGAGUAUCACAAACACCGCUACUGUUCAGAAGAGCGACUCCGAGGUGAUCCCAGUGUACUGGGCAUGGUUGAGAAGUAUCGUUAAACUGGUGCUUUUCUGUGGUCGUCUGUACCAGGAGUCUGUAGUCAGGGGUGUUUGUGUGUGCGUUAAUGAGUAACCGACUUCGAGAAACACAAACCCCGCUACUGUUCAGAAGAGCGACUCCGAAGUGAUCCCAGUGUACUGGGCAUGGUUGAGAAAUUCCCUCUGUACGAGGAGUCUGUAGUCAGGGGUGUUUGUGUGUGCGUUAAUGAGUAACCGACUUCGAGUAUCACAAACACCGCUACUGUUCAGAAGAGCGACUCCGAAGUAAUCCCAGUGUACUGGGCAUGGUUGAGAAAUUCCCUCUGUACGAGGAGUCUGU
Eriocheir sinensis (Chinese mitten crab) is the source of this 1579-nucleotide long non-coding RNA. RefSeq lists it as uncharacterized. The transcript is spliced from 7 exons. The record is from RefSeq and is a predicted model, not a curated record. Lineage: Eukaryota; Metazoa; Arthropoda; Malacostraca; Decapoda; Varunidae.